This 498-nucleotide ribosomal RNA is filed under the name uncultured diatom. RNAcentral describes it as "bacterial SSU rRNA". It matches the Rfam family "Eukaryotic small subunit ribosomal RNA", at positions 451 to 953 of the family's 1831-position model. Lineage: Eukaryota; Bacillariophyta. The record is from RNAcentral.
CUGAUUCAGGGAGGUAGCGACAAGAAAUAACGAUAGCGGGCUCGUUCGAGUCCGCGCAUCGGAAUGAGGAUAAUUUACACCCCUUCUCGAGGAUCCAUUGGAGGGCAAGUCUGGUGCCAGCAGCCGCGGUAAUUCCAGCUCCAAUAGCGUAUACUAAAGUUGUUGCAGUUAAAAAGCUCGUAGUUGGAUUUGUGGUGUAUGCGUUUGGCCGCUUCCUUUUGGAGGUGUGCUGUGACGCGUCGCCAUCUUUGGGUGGAAUCUGCGUGGCAUUAGGUUGUCGUGCAGGGGAUGCCCAUCGUUUACUGUGAAAAAUUAGAGUGUUCAAAGCAGGCUUAUGCCGUUGAAUAUGUUAGCAUGGAAUAAUGAGAUAGGACCUUGGUACUAUUUUGUUGGUUUGCGCACCAAGGUAAUGAUUAAUAGGGACAGUUGGGGGUAUUCGUAUUUCAUUGUCAGAGGUGAAAUUCUUGGAUUUUUGAAAGACGAACUACUGCGAAAGCA